Molecule: non-coding RNA, 21 nt
Organism: Caenorhabditis elegans
Lineage: Eukaryota; Metazoa; Nematoda; Chromadorea; Rhabditida; Rhabditidae
Source: Ensembl
UUGUUAUGUUCUCGUCACAUA